Panicum virgatum (switchgrass) is the source of this 448-nucleotide long non-coding RNA. RefSeq lists it as uncharacterized. The record is from RefSeq and is a predicted model, not a curated record. The transcript is spliced from 3 exons. NCBI's taxonomy places the organism in Eukaryota, Viridiplantae, Streptophyta, Magnoliopsida, Poales, Poaceae.
AUCGGGGCGCCACCACCCUGCCCCGCGGCUGACCAAUCCAUCCCGGCCUCGGCGCCUCCCCGCCGGCCACCCGCUUCCCCGUCCACUCCCCCGAGCAGCCCUUCGGAUCCAGCGGCACCCCUCGUCCUCCUUGCGGCCGUGAUGCUGCCACCAGUCCUUUGUUGACUUGGAUUGAUUUUUGAAGAAGAUAGGCAAUGCAAGUAAGCUUCCAACAGGCCUGAGUUGCAUGCCUGAAUAAACCUAACAGAACCAAAGAAAGCUUAUGUUGGCAAAAACAGAAUUUGAUUUAUGUGCAUAUCUUCUAUCUUAGCAAGGUAAAAUCUUGAGUGUUGCAAAACACUUCUUUUUCUAGCACAAGCCACAAAACAUUUUUGAAAUAAUAAGGGUAUGAGCUGUGCUUUAUUUCAUUAAUAGAGAGAAGAGAAUAAAAGUACCCAAAAAAGGGGGU